GCAGGUGACAAUCCCGUGUGCCACCCGCCAUGUCCCCUGUGAGUGUGGGGAGGUGACACCUGUGACACCCCCGUGUGUCCCCAAUGGGUGUGCUGUGGGGAGGUGACACCUGUGACCCUAAAGGAUGUGGGGGGGAGGUGACACCUGUGUCCCCAAAGGGUGUGGCGGGUCAGGGGGAGGUGACACCUUUGGCCCGUGCCACUCCCAUGUGACACCGCUGUCCCUCCUGUGUCCCCAGCCUGGUGUACGGGGGCUCACGGGGGUCACACCCCGACCCCGACCUGCUGCACCGGCAGCCCUACGGAGCCCCCCACCCGCUGCAGGGCUAUGCGGCCAACCACCACCCGCCAGGUACGGCUGUCACCUGUGUGUCACCUGUGUGUCACCCUCCUGUCACCCCCCCCGUCACCCCGACCCACCCUAACCCCAGCUCCCUGUGUCACCUUGUCACUCUGCCGCCUGUGUCACCCCGGGACGCUCGGUCCCCUCACGUUUUCCCGCUCUUUCUCUCCCCUCACGUUUUCCCGCUCUUUUCUCUCCCCUCACGUUUUCCCACUCUUUUUCUCCCCUCACGUUUUCUGUUCUUUUCCCAUCAUGUUUUCCACCCUUUUCCCUUCACAUUUCCCACCCUUUUCUCCCCUCACGUUUUCCCGCUCUUUUCCUCUCCUAUUUUCUACCCUUUUUCCCUCACAUUUCCACCCUUUUCCCCUCACGUUUCCUGCCCUUUUCCCUUCACAUUUUCCACCCUUUUUUCCCCUCACAUUUCUCACCCUUUUUUCCCCUCACAUUUUCUGCUCUUUUCACCUCACAUUUCCGUCCCUUCCCCUUCACAUUUCCCGCUUUUUUCUCCUCUUACAAUUCCCAUCUUGUUUUUCCUCACCUUUUCCUCCUUUCUCCCCUCAUGUUUUCCAGCUCUUUUCUCCCCUCACAUUUUCCUUUUCCCUUACAUUUUCUACCCUUUCACCUCACAUUCCCACCCUUUUCCUUUCGUGUUUCCCGCUCUUUUCUCCCCUCGUGAUUCCUGUCCUGUUUCUCCUCACCUUUUCCGCCUUUUUCCCCUCAUGUUUCAUGCUCUUUUCUCCUCGCAUUUCCACCCUUUUCCCUUCACAUUUUCCACCCUUUUCCCCUCACAUUUCCCACUCUUUUCCCUUCACAUUUCCCGCUCUUUUUUCCCCUCACGUUUUCCCGCUCUUUUCCUCUUGUAUUUUCUACCCUUUUUCCCUCACAUUUCCACCCUUUUCCUCUCACGUUUCCCGCCCUUUUCCCUUCACAUUUUCCACCCUUUUCUCCCCUCACGUUUUCUGUUCUUUUCCCCUCACAUUUCCCACUCUUUUCCUCUCACAUUUCCCACCCUUUUCUCCUCACAUUUCCCACUCUUUUCCUCUCACAUUUCCCACUCUUUUCCAGUCACAUUUUCCACUCUUUUCUCCCCUCACAUUUUCUACUCUUUUCACCUCACAUUUCCACCCCUUUCCCUUCACAUUUCCUGCUUUUUUCUCCCCUCAUAAUUCCCAUCUUGUUUCCCCUCACCUUUUCCUCCUUUCUCCUCUCACGUUUCCUGCUCUUUUCUCCCCUCACAUUUUCCUUUUCCCUUACAUUUUCUACCCUUUUCCUUCCGUGUUUCCCGCUCUUUUCUCCCCUCAUGAUUCCCGUCCUGUUUCUCCUCACUUUUUCCACCUUUUUCCCCUCACGUUCUUUGCUGCUUUCACUUCAUGUUUCCACCCUUUUCCCCUCACAUUUCCCGCUCUUUUCACCUCACAUUUCCACCCUUUUCCCUUCACAUUUUCCACCCUUUUCCCCCCUCAUAUUUCCACCCUUUUCCCCUCACAUUUCCCACUCUUUUCCCUUCACAUUUUCCACUCCUUUCCACUCACAUUUCCCACUCUUUUCCCGUCACAUUUCUCACCCUUUUCCCCUCACAUUUUUCACUCUUUUCCCCUCAUAUUUGCUGCCCUUUUUACCUCACGUUUCCCACCUUUUUCUCCCCUCACGUUUUCUGCUCUUUUCCCGUCAUGUUUUCUACUCUUUUCACCUCACGUUUCCCACCCUUUUCCCUUCACAUUUUCCACACUUUUCCCCUCACAUUUCCCACCCUUUUCCCCUCACAUUUCCCACCCUUUUUCCCUCACACAUUUCACUCUUUUCCCCUCAUAUUUUCUGCUCUUUUCCCGUCAUGUUUUCUACUCUUUUC
This is a long non-coding RNA of Parus major (Great Tit), 2191 nucleotides long. The record is from Ensembl. Lineage: Eukaryota; Metazoa; Chordata; Aves; Passeriformes; Paridae.